Molecule: ribosomal RNA, 275 nt
Filed under: uncultured bacterium
Lineage: Bacteria
Description: partial 16S ribosomal RNA
Rfam family: Bacterial small subunit ribosomal RNA
Source: RNAcentral
CCUACGGGGGGCUGCAGUGAGGAAUAUUGGUCAAUGGGCGCAAGCCUGAACCAGCCAUCCCGCGUGCAGGAUGACGGCCCUAUGGGUUGUAAACUGCUUUUGUACAGGAAGAAAAAUCUCUACGAGUAGGGAACUGCCGGUACUGUACGAAUAAGCAUCGGCUAACUCCGUGCCAGCAGCCGCGGUAAUACGGAGGAUGCAAGCGUUAUCCGGAUUCAUUGGGUUUAAAGGGUGCGUAGGCGGCUCUUUAAGUCAGUGGUGAAAUCCUGCCGCUU